GGCCGGUCCCCUCGGCGGCGAAGGCUUGUGAACCCGGUCAGGUCCGGAAGGAAGCAGCCGCAGCAGGCGAUUCGGGUGCCGGGGUGCGUCCGGCUCGA
RNAcentral lists this signal recognition particle RNA (98 nucleotides) under Candidatus Muproteobacteria bacterium RBG_16_65_34. Its description in RNAcentral is "signal recognition particle sRNA small type". It matches the Rfam family "Bacterial small signal recognition particle RNA". From Rfam's summary of the family: The signal recognition particle (SRP) is a universally conserved ribonucleoprotein involved in the co-translational targeting of proteins to membranes. Lineage: Bacteria; Pseudomonadati; Pseudomonadota; Candidatus Muproteobacteria. The record is from RNAcentral.